GAAAAAGCAAUGAAAAAGACCAGUAGGUUGAUCUUCAGUGGAUAGAGAAAAGGAAUCACCGGCUGAAAGUUUCUUACACUCGAACCAACCGAACCUAUCUUUAGAGCUGUCGAAAGAUCCAUGACCGUUCUCUGCGUUAAAGAGGAAAGAGGGCACGCAAUAUGUGCGUGUCAACAAAGGUGGUAACGCGGAAAUAUACCCAUUUCGUCCUUUAC
This 215-nucleotide non-coding RNA is filed under the name Sediminibacillus halophilus. RNAcentral describes it as "T-box sequence". It matches the Rfam family "T-box leader". Rfam says of the family: Uncharged tRNA acts as the effector for transcription antitermination of genes in the T-box leader family. T-boxes are found upstream of many aminoacyl-tRNA synthetase genes and some amino acid biosynthetic genes usually in Gram-positive bacteria. Lineage: Bacteria; Bacillati; Bacillota; Bacilli; Caryophanales; Bacillaceae. The record is from RNAcentral.